Molecule: transfer RNA, 72 nt
Filed under: Ornithorhynchus anatinus (platypus)
Lineage: Eukaryota; Metazoa; Chordata; Mammalia; Monotremata; Ornithorhynchidae
Rfam family: tRNA
About the family: Transfer RNA (tRNA) molecules are approximately 80 nucleotides in length. Their secondary structure includes four short double-helical elements and three loops (D, anti-codon, and T loops).
Source: Rfam by way of RNAcentral
AGCAGUGUCGUCUAGUGGCAAGGCUAUGGGUUUGGGAGUCAGAGGACGUGGGUUCUAAUCCUCGCGCUGCUA